CAAAGAAGAACUAGGCGCAUUGGUAACACACGAAUGUAAAAAGAAAACUUCUGCACUUACCCAGAUAUCCGUGCUUCAGGAAUAACUGCAGAUUCCACGUCAAUUUUGGCAACAAUUUUACGGUACAAGAACAAAAUUGGUUGUUCAGAAUGAGUUACUUGAAGGAGUCGAUGACUGUAACCACCUACACUGAAAAUAACAAUUCUCUAUUCACCGCUAACAUUUUAAAAACGGCAGUUUCAUGCCAUCACGGUACAUCUCAGCGGCAUUUAACACCUUAGAACUCACAAUGUAGGUUUUAGCAAUUUUGCCAAAGUAUAAGCCUCUGUUGGUCAGGACCCUAACUGUUUAAACCAGUACAGAAAUGCUUAUGCUCUCUUGCAUAAUACAGCAUGGCAAAAUCGUGAUGCAACCAAUACAUACUGCUAAACAAAGAUGAUUGUUACAUAGUAUUUACCUAGUUAGUAGCCGUCACAAUUCUCCUAACUCCCGAUGAGUUUUGAGUAGAAUUGAAAGACAGAUAAAUAUCAACAGCAUCUGUUUACAAUCAUUAAAGAGCUGUUAAUAUCUAACAGCUAUAUUAUGUUAAAAUAUGGAUGAAUACUUACAUCAUGAUGGUAGACUCGAUAAUCAUAUUUUGCUUCAUAGCCUUUCCACCCAUCAACCAGUAAUAUUGUCACAUCUGCAAGCAACAAGAAAUCUUAUAUUAAUUGAUGUUGCUUCUAAAUUAUGUGUGCACUGACUUUGAUAGCGAUUCAACUGGAUACCUACAAUACUCAUUACCGUAUUCGAACAAAAUACAACUUGUUAGAAAGUGAA
This is a long non-coding RNA of Daphnia magna, 819 nucleotides long. RefSeq lists it as uncharacterized. The transcript has 2 exons. NCBI's taxonomy places the organism in Eukaryota, Metazoa, Arthropoda, Branchiopoda, Diplostraca, Daphniidae. The record is from RefSeq and is a predicted model, not a curated record.